This 457-nucleotide ribosomal RNA is filed under the name uncultured bacterium. Its description in RNAcentral is "partial 16S ribosomal RNA". It matches the Rfam family "Bacterial small subunit ribosomal RNA", at positions 28 to 523 of the family's 1533-position model. The record is from RNAcentral.
GAUGAACGCUGGCGGCGUGCCUAAUACAUGCAAGUCGAGCGGUAAGGCCCUUCGGGGUACACGAGCGGCGGACGGCUGAGUAACACGUAGGAACCUACCCCAAACUGAGGGAUAAGCACCAGAAAUGGUGUCUAAUACCGCAUGUGCUCUACGGAGUAAAGCUUCGGCGGUUUGGGAAGGGCCUGCGUCCGAUUAGCUAGUUGGUGGUAUAAAAGACUACCAAGGCGACGAUCGGUAGCUGGUCUGAGAGGAUGAUCAGCCAGACUGGGACUGAGACACGGCCCAGACUCCUACGGGAGGCAGCAGUAGGGAAUUUUCCACAAUGGGCGAAAGCCUGAUGGAGCAACGCCGCGUGCAGGAUGAAUGCCUUCGGGUUGUAAACUGCUUUUAUCUGUGACGAAUAUGACGGUAGCAGAUGAAUAAGGACCUGCUAACUACGUGCCAGCCGCCGCAGUAA